UAGGGAAUCUUCCGCAAUGGACGAAAGUCUGACGGAGCAACGCCGCGUGAGUGAUGAAGGCUUUCGGGUCGUAAAACUCUGUUGUUAGGGAAGAACAAGUGCUAGUUGAAUAAGCUGGCACCUUGACGGUACCUAACCAGGAAGCCACGGCUAACUACGUG
RNAcentral lists this ribosomal RNA (161 nucleotides) under uncultured bacterium. Its description in RNAcentral is "partial 16S ribosomal RNA". It matches the Rfam family "Bacterial small subunit ribosomal RNA", at positions 355 to 507 of the family's 1533-position model. The record is from RNAcentral.